Molecule: ribosomal RNA, 543 nt
Filed under: Salmonella enterica subsp. enterica serovar Kentucky
Lineage: Bacteria; Pseudomonadati; Pseudomonadota; Gammaproteobacteria; Enterobacterales; Enterobacteriaceae
Description: bacterial SSU rRNA
Rfam family: Bacterial small subunit ribosomal RNA
Source: RNAcentral
GUCGGAUGUGAAAUCCCCGGGCUCAACCUGGGAACUGCAUUCGAAACUGGCAGGCUUGAGUCUUGUAGAGGGGGGUAGAAUUCCAGGUGUAGCGGUGAAAUGCGUAGAGAUCUGGAGGAAUACCGGUGGCGAAGGCGGCCCCCUGGACAAAGACUGACGCUCAGGUGCGAAAGCGUGGGGAGCAAACAGGAUUAGAUACCCUGGUAGUCCACGCCGUAAACGAUGUCUACUUGGAGGUUGUGCCCUUGAGGCGUGGCUUCCGGAGCUAACGCGUUAAGUAGACCGCCUGGGGAGUACGGCCGCAAGGUUAAAACUCAAAUGAAUUGACGGGGGCCCGCACAAGCGGUGGAGCAUGUGGUUUAAUUCGAUGCAACGCGAAGAACCUUACCUGGUCUUGACAUCCACAGAAUUCUGCAGAGAUGCGGAAGUGCCUUCGGGAACUGUGAGACAGGUGCUGCAUGGCUGUCGUCAGCUCGUGUUGUGAAAUGUUGGGUUAAGUCCCGCAACGAGCGCAACCCUUAUCCUUUGUUGCCAGCGAUUAGG